RNAcentral lists this ribosomal RNA (465 nucleotides) under Vreelandella stevensii. Its description in RNAcentral is "partial 16S ribosomal RNA". It matches the Rfam family "Bacterial small subunit ribosomal RNA", at positions 338 to 795 of the family's 1533-position model. Lineage: Bacteria; Pseudomonadati; Pseudomonadota; Gammaproteobacteria; Oceanospirillales; Halomonadaceae. The record is from RNAcentral.
CCUACGGGUGGCAGCAGUGGGGAAUAUUGGACAAUGGGCGAAAGCCUGAUCCAGCCAUGCCGCGUGUGUGAAGAAGGCCUUCGGGUUGUAAAGCACUUUCAGUGGGGAAGAAAGCCUUGGGGCUAAUACCCUCGAGGAAGGACAUCACCCACAGAAGAAGCACCGGCUAACUCCGUGCCAGCAGCCGCGGUAAUACGGAGGGUGCGAGCGUUAAUCGGAAUUACUGGGCGUAAAGCGCGCGUAGGCGGUCUGAUAAGCCGGUUGUGAAAGCCCCGGGCUCCACCUGGGAACGGCAUCCGGAACUGUCAGGCUAGAGUGCAGGAGAGGAAGGUAGAAUUCCCGGUGUAGCGGUGAAAUGCGUAGAGAUCGGGAGGAAUACCAGUGGCGAAGGCGGCCUUCUGGACUGACACUGACGCUGAGGUGCGAAAGCGUGGGUAGCAAACAGGAUUAGAUACCCUAGUAGUC